CCUACGGGGGGCAGCAGUGGGGAAUAUUGGACAAUGGGCGAAAGCCUGAUCCAGCCAUGCCGCGUGUGUGAAGAAGGCCUUCGGGUUGUAAAGCACUUUCAGUGGGGAAGAAAGCCUUGGGGCUAAUACCCUCGAGGAAGGACAUCACCCACAGAAGAAGCACCGGCUAACUCCGUGCCAGCAGCCGCGGUAAUACGGAGGGUGCGAGCGUUAAUCGGAAUUACUGGGCGUAAAGCGCGCGUAGGCGGUCUGAUAAGCCGGUUGUGAAAGCCCCGGGCUCAACCUGGGAACGGCAGCCGGAACCGUCAGGCUAGAGUGCAGGAGAGGAAGGUAGAAUUCCCGGUGUAGCGGUGAAAUGCGUAGAGAUCGGGAGGAAUACCAGUGGCGAAGGCGGCCUUCUGGACUGACACUGACGCUGAGGUGCGAAAGCGUGGGUAGCAAACAGGAUUAGAUACCCCGGUAGUC
Molecule: ribosomal RNA, 465 nt
Filed under: Vreelandella stevensii
Lineage: Bacteria; Pseudomonadati; Pseudomonadota; Gammaproteobacteria; Oceanospirillales; Halomonadaceae
Description: partial 16S ribosomal RNA
Rfam family: Bacterial small subunit ribosomal RNA
Source: RNAcentral